Megalops cyprinoides (Indo-Pacific tarpon) is the source of this 109-nucleotide small nuclear RNA. The record is from RefSeq and is a predicted model, not a curated record. Lineage: Eukaryota; Metazoa; Chordata; Actinopteri; Elopiformes; Megalopidae.
GUGUUUGCUGUUGCGACACACAUACUAAAAUUGGAUCGAUACAGAGAAGAUUAGCAUGGCUCACAUGCGCAAGGAUGAUACGCAUAAUUGUGAAGCAUCCAACUUUUCA